This 2748-nucleotide long non-coding RNA is filed under the name Homo sapiens (human). RNAcentral describes it as "HSALNT0186136". The record is from RNAcentral. Lineage: Eukaryota; Metazoa; Chordata; Mammalia; Primates; Hominidae.
UUAGCUAAAAAAAUUAACUAGCUGACUUAUUAAUUGCCAUGUUGAUUUCUUUUUUUUCUGUUUCUGUAAUUUAAAUUAAAGCCUCUUGAAUCAUUCUAAUAGUUCUGUCGUGUUCUAUAUACCAAAAAUGUGUUCAUGUAGACAUCUUUGUUUUCACUCAUUCAUUAACUUAAUGAUAAUUUUUGAAUGCCUAUCACAAUCCAACCACACUUCUAAGUGCUGGGAUGCAGAGAUAAAACAAAGUCUCUGCUUUCAUGGAGUUACAUUCUAGAGGUAAGAAAUAUAAAAUAAAUCAAUAAAUCUAUAUUACAAGUGGUGAAAUGAUAUGAAAAAUUCUGUGAUCCACAGAGUGAUUGCAGAAGAUCUCUCAGAAGAGGUGAUUUGAACAUAGACAUCACAAACAUGAAGAAGUGAGAACCAUGAAGGUAAUUUAGCAAGGGUACACUGUGCCAAGCUGACAACACUGUUUAUGGCUGUGGGUCACCAGCUCCCUGAGACCUGCUCCUCUGCACCUCCCUAAAGGCUAAGAGACUCAAUAUCUCUCUCACUCGAACCCAUCAGCUCCACAGCAAAGUUCCUGGUAUCUCUUUUGGGAAAUAUCCUGCCAUUGGGAAAGAAAGGAGAACAGGAAUUGAUGAAGAAAAGGGAGAAAAGGGGACAAAAAGAAGACAAAAGAAGAAUAGAAGCAGAAGAGUACGGUAUUCUAAGUGAAGGAAGAACCUUUUUAAAGAGGGAGUGAACCAAAAAGACUUGACAGCUAUUGAGAAUUCCAAUUGUGUGGGAGCUAAGGAGAGGGCACUGGUUAGGGCAAUGUCCUCCCUGGUUUUGCGUUAGAGGCAGUUUGAGUAGUAGAGGGGCAUAGAAGGCAGAUUAGGCAGUGACAGGGAAGUAUGGAAGCGGUGUGUGUGGUUUGCUGCACUUAGACAAACCUUGUGGGGGAAGGUAGAAAAGCAAUGGGCUGGAAUGGGUGGCAAUGACACUUUGGGGAUUUGAAGACCUGCCUGAGUUUGUAUGCAGAUUGAGGGGAAGAUAUAAGAGGAAAGAAUGGAACUGAAAACAUAAAAGACAAAAGGAAAUAAUUGACAAAGCAAAAUUCAGGCAACCAGGAAAGAACGGGAUCAAAUGUAUGUAGACAGAUUAAACUUGGUUAAGAAUAUACUUUUCUUUGAAUAGACAGAAAGGAGGAACAUAUUGAUAAAUGGUAGAGGGAGAUUUUGAAGGGUGCUGAAGACCUGAGAGAGUAUUCUCACUCAAUAGCUUUUGUUUUCUCUGUAAAAUAUGAUGUGAGAAGGAUGGUGAUCAUUCAGCAAUUCCUACUGGGGAAAAGGACAGACAACAACGUGGAGUGAGAGUGGGGUCAGAUGACUGUAUCAAUCAUGUGCUCAACACUGUGCUAGGUGCUGUAGGGGAUAUAAAAUAUGUAUCAUGUGAUUCCUGCCCUCAAAGGGAAACACACACACACACACACACACACACACACACACAGACACACACACACUCUCUCUCUCAAACCUAUAAGGGUAAGGGAAUCUUUUUGAGUUAAACUAUGAUUUGCUGAAAAGCAUAAUAAAAGUCCUAGGUAAGAAUUGGAGAGGGGGCAGUAAAGACAUUGAGAAAAGCUUUAUGCAUUAUUUGGAUAAACAGAGGAACAGAUUGUAGGAAGCAACAGAACCCAGCAUGAGCAUGGCAUGCACACCAGCUAGUUGGGAGAUCAUGAGAUAGUAGAGGAAAUGAGUGAUGGGAAGAGGAAGGCAACAUGACUGAAUAGAUAGGAAAGAACCAGAGUAUAGAGCACUGGUAGAAAGGAUGGAGGUGCAUGAAGAUUAAUUAGGUAUUUACCUGCAGGAUGAAGGAGAGUGUGGAGAUAAUAGAAAUAGAAAAAUAAUAAGGCAGGAAACGGUUGCAGCAAACCAGAUGUGAGGUUAUGCAAGAGUAAUGCCAGUGCCAGAGUAAAGAGAAAGGGAUGAAUCUGAGAGAUAUUCUGAAGGAAGAUUUGCUAAAAUAAUGUGACAGAUUGGAUAUUGAUUGGGAGGAAAGAAAAGAGUAACAUGUGCCUUUAGGUUUUUACUUCUGGGAGAUAGAAAAAUGAUGCUGACGUUGAAAUAAAACAUCUGUGAAAGCAAGGCAGAUUGGGGCUUUUUGAAGUUUGGUGGGACAGCAGUGAAUAUUAUUGGUAGGUUUUUGGCAUUUCAAGUCUAUAGGGAGAAAGGAUAGAGGUUUAUAAUUUGGAUUAUCACCAAAAGGUCAUAAAUGAAGCUUUGGGGAAAAAAAAAAAGCUCUUUGAGAAAAUGUGUGGAAGUACAGAGGAUCAGAGUGAGGGUUUAAGUCUUAAGGGGCAUUUCCAGUUAGAAAUCAGGAGGAGCCAUCGAGACUGCCUAAAAGGUAGAAUAACUGGCCAGAGCAUUUGGGGAACUAAUGAAUUGACAUGCUCUGAAACAAAAAAGAGAAGAAAACUGCAAGGAGCAUAAGAUUUAAUUGCAGUAAAAGUUUUGAAUAAAUAAAAUAUAUAAAAGUCCAUUGAAUUUGACCAAAAGGAGAUGAUUUUAAACCUUUCAGAGAUCAAUUUCAGUGAAGUGGUAGUAGAUGAGAAUGAAGGCACCAGGUAGAGAGAUAGUUGGUGUAUAAAUAUGCCCAACUCUCUCUGAAGGAGAGUAUAUUAGAAUUUCUAAGAUAGCCCUGAGAAAGUACUUUAGUGAUCACCGCUGAAAUUGAUGGAGUGCUGCAGUAGACCCCGAUGUCCCCAAACCC